Molecule: ribosomal RNA, 253 nt
Filed under: uncultured bacterium
Lineage: Bacteria
Description: partial 16S ribosomal RNA
Rfam family: Bacterial small subunit ribosomal RNA
Source: RNAcentral
UACGUAGGGGGCAAGCGUUGUCCGGAAUCAUUGGGCGUAAAGAGCGUGUAGGCGGCUCGAUAAGUCCGUUCUGAAAGUCCAGGGCUCAACCCUGGGAUGCGGAUGGAUACUGUCGGGCUUGAGUACGGAAGAGGCGAGUGGAAUUCCUGGUGUAGCGGUGAAAUGCGCAGAUAUCAGGAGGAACACCAAUUGCGAAGGCAGCUCGCUGGGACGUUACUGACGCUGAGACGCGAAAGCUAGGGGAGCGAACGGG